CCUACGGGAGGCAGCAGUGAGGAAUAUUGGUCAAUGGACGAGAGUCUGAACCAGCCAAGUCGCGUGAAGGAUGACUGCCCUAUGGGUUGUAAACUUCUUUUAUCUGGGAAUAAAAUGUUCCACGUGUGGGAUUUUGUAUGUACCCUAUGAAUAAAGCUCCGCUUACUCCGUGCCCGCCGCCGCGGUAAUACGGAGGAUCCGAGCGUUAUCCGGAUUUAUUGGGGUUAAAGGGAGCGUAGGUGGAGUUUUAAGUCAGUUGUGAAAGUUUGCGGCUCAACCGUAAAAUGGCAGUUGAAACUGGCAGUCUUGAGUACAGGAGAGGUGGGCGGAAUGCGUGGUGUAGCGGUGAAAUGCUGAGAUAUCACGAAGAACUCCGAUUGCGAAGGCAGUUUACUGGAGUGCAACUGACACUGAGGCUCGAAAGUGUGGGGAUCAAACAGGAUUAGAUACCCUGGUAGUC
This 460-nucleotide ribosomal RNA is filed under the name uncultured bacterium. Its description in RNAcentral is "partial 16S ribosomal RNA". It matches the Rfam family "Bacterial small subunit ribosomal RNA", at positions 338 to 795 of the family's 1533-position model. The record is from RNAcentral.